GCUCCAGCAUCCAGGGGGAACCCAACUACCUUCACCUCCUGCCCCUCUGUGCUCUGGGAAGAACUGUCUGCCCUUUGCUGAUUACUUAAUGUGAAAGACAGCGUGUGACUUGAUGACUGAUUUCCAGAAUUGCAGCAGGAGAAACAGGACAAAAACCUGCAAAAAUAUCAACAAUGGAUGAAAAAAACAGGAGACCUGACACCAUAACGGAGUGCAACAGCACCUUACCUUUGCAGGAAAGCUGUGAAGUUCACGGAUGCUGCUCUCUGAGCUUCAAGGUGUGAACGUCCAGAAGAAUGAGCAGAGACACAAGGCUGCAGCAGAGCGCUUUGGGAGUGGAACCGCUACCUUUUCUGGCACUGAUUACAACUGUGUCGUGGCGUUUCCUGCUUUGGAAAUAAAAUGGAUUUGUUGCAGACUGCACCAGGUUGAUCCCUCCAGAGAAGACGGGGGUGUGGACUUUCAACAAGCUCACUCCUGAUUGGGAAGAUUGGCUGUUGAUGCAGACCGUUUUAGACCAAUCCCUGCCUACUGAUCCCAGCAUGGCGGCAUACGUAUAGCAAAAAACUUGAUUUACCAUAAUCUCAGAGCCUGAAGUAAGUACUUUUCUAUUGGCUUUUAUGUGUUUGUGUCUUUAACAAAUAAAAUGGGAAAUGUAGUUUUAAUAACUUUUGUGGGAUUGUUAAUGUAAGUCAAAACCAAACAGGCCCCAAAAUGGAUCCUUGAGGCUCACCAAAUUUAAUUUUAUGUCUCUGACAAUCAAAAACAUAUUUUGUCCUGCAAUUCACAUGACGACAUUACUAUUUAUGAAUAAGCUUUUCAAUAAUCAAGUUGGUAAUUGAAGUGAUUUCCUUCUUGUCAUCUUUCACGUGUUUUUGCUGAAAAGUCUUGUCUUGACUGUAACACAUGUUCACCUUUGGAUCUUGUGUAAUGCAGUAUGAAAAUCCUUUAUCUUGAGGGAGUUACUCUUCUGUUUUCAGGAAACAUGUCAAUGAUUGCAAGGAUUUACUGUUAAUGGAGAAUCUCUUUACACAUUUCUUUAAGACAUCUGUUCUUAGGACAUCUGCUUUGAAUUACGCCCUGAUGCCACAGCAUUACAUGGGACUGCUGCAUUGUAAGACUCUGCAUCUAAUGUCAUCAGUUCUUCAAAGAUCUUUUGUAGAAUUUCAAAAAUCUUUAUAUCAAAAACAAAAUUUUCUUUGGAGUGGGUCAAAUUGCUGAUUGAGCUACGAUGAUCAAUCAUAAAAGCUAAAAAUCAGAUCUCAUUUUCACACAAACUUCUAACCCUCCAGAAAUAAUUUUCAGAUUAUAAAAACCAACAUUUGGUCUCUUUUUAUUUGUUCUGUUUGAUUAAAUAUUUUUAAUUUAAUAACAACAUUUUUAGAGUGUCUUAAGGUCAGCUCUUAUUUCAGUUUAUUGACUCCUGUUUGCAGUUUGGCCAUAAACUGCAUUUGUCUGAUUAAGGAAAGGAGCUUCACAUCUUGGCUUUUAUGGACGUGCCAGAGGACGUGCAACCUUUGAAUGAGUAACUUUAAUGAUCAGAACUGUAAGCAAACAGAAAUAAAACACUUUUUAGGAUAGAACUGUGAUCCAUGAAGACCAAAACUGUCUGUACUUUUCCUUCCUAAAUGACUCAGCAUUUUUGCCUUCUCCUGGUGGUUCAUCACAGGACUGCACUCUAAAUACCUAUAUUUUUGUGCCAGAUUUGUAUAAACUAAAAAUGCAGAAACAAUACAGCUCUGACAUUUAUGAAGCAUUUUGGAGAUUUUAGUGUUGAUAUUGUAUUUUUGAUCAUUAAAUCUGAAAAAAUAAGUAGUUUUUUUUAUGCUGUGAUGGAAUUACUUUCCUCUGAAGUCAAUCAUGCGGGCAGAAAGAAAAGUUUGAUUUUUGUACUGUUGCUUUUCUACUUUGCUUUUGCGAACAUUGUUGUCAAAAAAAGCCACAGUUUGGAAGUCCAUCGUUUUCCAGAUGUCCAAUAAUUUCUGUACCUGUCCAGGAUGUACCUUGCCAGGAUAGGCUCCAGCAACCAUGUGACCCUCAAAGAGGAUGGAUGGAUGGAUGGAUGGAUGGAUGGA
Molecule: non-coding RNA, 2075 nt
Organism: Oryzias latipes (Japanese medaka)
Lineage: Eukaryota; Metazoa; Chordata; Actinopteri; Beloniformes; Adrianichthyidae
Source: RefSeq, a predicted model, not a curated record